GACGAACGCUGGCGGCGGGCUUAACACAUGCAAGUCGAACGGAAAGGCCCUGCUUUUGUGGGGUGCUCGAGUGGCGAACGGGUGAGUAACACGUGAGUAACCUGCCCUGGACUUUGGGAUAACUGCAGGAAACUGGGGCUAAUACCGGCUAGGAGCUCCUGCUGCAUGGUGGGGGUUGGAAAGUUUCGGCUGUUGGGGAUGGACUCGCGGCUUAUCAGCUUGUUGGGGGGGUAGUGGCUUACCCAGGCUUUGAAGGGUAGCCGGCAUGAGAGGGUGAACGGCGACAAUGGGCCUGAGAGACGGAGCAGAGUCGUAUGGGAGGCAGUAGGGGAGAAUAUUGCCCAAUGGGCGGACGCCUGAUACAGAAACGCCGGGAGCGGGAUGACGGUCUUGGGGUUGUAAACCGCAUUAGCCUGUGACGAAGCGUGAGUGACGGUACUGGGUAAAGAAGCACCGGCUAACUACGCG
Molecule: ribosomal RNA, 468 nt
Filed under: uncultured bacterium
Lineage: Bacteria
Description: partial 16S ribosomal RNA
Rfam family: Bacterial small subunit ribosomal RNA
Source: RNAcentral